Amylostereum chailletii is the source of this 85-nucleotide non-coding RNA. The record is from the annotation of a GenBank genome assembly. Lineage: Eukaryota; Fungi; Basidiomycota; Agaricomycetes; Russulales; Stereaceae.
UCCGGAAUGGUGUAACGGCUUUAACAUUGCCGCCUUUCACAGCACGUGAUCGCGGCAGCUCGGGGUUCGACUCCCCGUUCCGGAA